RNAcentral lists this long non-coding RNA (650 nucleotides) under Homo sapiens (human). RNAcentral's name for it is "non-protein coding lnc-ASNS-1:6". The record is from RNAcentral. Lineage: Eukaryota; Metazoa; Chordata; Mammalia; Primates; Hominidae.
GGUGGCUGCUUUCUCUGGGCUGGCUGUGGGAGGCUCCCGAGGUGGGGACCCGGCCGGGAUGGCUGCAGCGGCGGCCGGGGCUGGGAGCGGGCCCUCGGCGGCCCAGGAGAAGCAGUUCCUGCCGGCGCUGCUGAGUUUCUUCAUCUACAACCCGCGCUUCUGGCCGCGGGAAGGAGAGGUUGUUCGGAAUCCUAUAAUUGAAAAACAGUAAAGAUGGAAAACCAGUUAUUGAAUAUCAAGAGGAGGAGUUGUUGAAGUCUCAGGGGAUCCAGAACUGCAGCCAGUCCUUGCUGGGCUGUUCCUGUCCAUGUGCCUGGUCACGGUGCUGGGGAACCUGCUCAUCAUCCUGGCCAUCAGCCCUGACUCCCACCUCCACACCCCCAUGUACUUCUUCCUCUCCAACCUGUCCUUGCCUGACAUCGGUUUCACCUCCACCACGGUCCCCAAGAUGAUUGUGGACAUCCAGUCUCACAGCAGAGUCAUCUCCUAUGCAGGCUGCCUGACUCAGAUGUCUCUCUUUGCCAUUUUUGGAGGCAUGGAAGAGAGACAUGCUCCUGAGUGUGAUGGCCUAUGACUGGUUUGUAGCCAUCUGUCACCCGCUAUAUCAUUCACCAUCAUGAACCCGUGUUUCUGUGCCUUUCUAGUUUUGU